UAAACGGCUCUUUUCAGAGCCACCCAAAUUUUGUAAAGAGCAUAUU
This is a non-coding RNA of Ciona savignyi (Pacific transparent sea squirt), 46 nucleotides long. NCBI's taxonomy places the organism in Eukaryota, Metazoa, Chordata, Ascidiacea, Phlebobranchia, Cionidae. The record is from Rfam.